RNAcentral lists this ribosomal RNA (519 nucleotides) under Hexapanopeus lobipes. RNAcentral's name for it is "partial 16S ribosomal RNA". It matches the Rfam family "Bacterial large subunit ribosomal RNA", at positions 1830 to 2597 of the family's 2925-position model. Lineage: Eukaryota; Metazoa; Arthropoda; Malacostraca; Decapoda; Panopeidae. The record is from RNAcentral.
GUCCAUUUGAUGAUAUAAAUGGUCUGGCCUGCUCACUGAUAAAUACAUUUAAGAGCCGCGGUAUUUUGACCGUGCAAAGGUAGCAUAAUCAUUAGGGGUUUAAUUGGAACCUGGUAUGAAGGGUUGGACAAAGGAGAAACUGUCUCUGCAUUGUAUGUUGAAAUUUACUUUUGAGUGAAAAGGCUUAAAUAAUUCAAAAAGACGAUAAGACCCUAUAAAGCUUUAUAAACUACUUAAGCUUAAUUGAUGUAACAUGUAAAAAUUAAGUUUAACUAUUUUAUUUUGUUGGGGUGAUGUGAGUAUAAAUAUUAUUAACUGCUUAAAAUAUAUACAAAUUUAGUUGGGUAUAAAUUCGAUGAUCCUUCUUAAAGAUUAAAAGACUAAGUUACUUUAGGGAUAACAGCGUUAUUUCUUUUAAGAGUUCAUAUCGAAAAAGAAGAUUGCGACCUCGAUGUUGAAUUAAAAUUUCUAUAUAAUGCAGCCGUUAUAAAAGAGGGUCUGUUCGACCUUUAAAUUUUU